RNAcentral lists this ribosomal RNA (253 nucleotides) under uncultured prokaryote. Its description in RNAcentral is "partial 16S ribosomal RNA". It matches the Rfam family "Bacterial small subunit ribosomal RNA", at positions 524 to 776 of the family's 1533-position model. The record is from RNAcentral.
UACGAAGGGGGCUAGCGUUGUUCGGAAUCACUGGGCGUAAAGCGCACGUAGGCGGACUCUUAAGUCAGGGGUGAAAGCCUGAGGCUCAACCUCAGAACUGCCCUUGAUACUGGGAGUCUUGAGUAUGGUAGAGGUUGGUGGAACAGCAAGUGUAGAGGUGAAAUUCGUAGAUAUUUGCUAGAACACCAGUGGCGAAGGCGGCCAACUGGACCAUAACUGACGCUGAGGUGCGAAAGCGUGGGGAGCAAACAGG